GACACGCCACACUUAUUCAAAUGUAUUAAGAAUCGCCUGUAUGAUAAAGGUUGAUUGAAGAAUUGUGAUGAGAAUUAUGUUAAAUGGGAAUACUUCAAUCACCUUUACGACACUGAUGCUACUCAUGCAGGAAAUGGUACAGUAUGCCCAAAAAUAUCUAGAAGGCAUAUACAAUUAAAUAAUAUAGCCCAAAUGCGUGUUUUUUGCAACUCAGAUUUUCAGUAACUCUAUAGCUGCUGCUUUUAAAUUUUAUUCUCUACACAACAUAAAAAAACUCGAAGGCUGUGAAGCAACCAUUCAUUUUUGUUUGCAAAUGAACAAUAUAUUCGACGCAUUAAAUCGGAAACAACCAAACGAAGGCCUCUCACCAAAUUCAACGGAUUUUAAAGAUCUCUAAUACAACCGUGCCUAUACGACACAACGUUCCGGACAAAGAGUAGGGAUCAGUAGGGAUACAACAAGACACGGC
Dufourea novaeangliae is the source of this 469-nucleotide long non-coding RNA. RefSeq lists it as uncharacterized. The record is from RefSeq and is a predicted model, not a curated record. Lineage: Eukaryota; Metazoa; Arthropoda; Insecta; Hymenoptera; Halictidae. The transcript has 4 exons.